This 1231-nucleotide ribosomal RNA is filed under the name metagenome. Its description in RNAcentral is "bacterial LSU rRNA". It matches the Rfam family "Bacterial large subunit ribosomal RNA", at positions 1701 to 2925 of the family's 2925-position model. The record is from RNAcentral.
CAGGAGAAGGAACUCGGCAAAUUAACACCGUAACUUCGGGAGAAGGUGUGCCCCGGUAGCGUGUAGAGACUUGCUCUCAAGCGCGAUGGGGUUGCAGUGAAAUGGUGGCUGCGACGGUUUAGUAAAAACACAGCACUCUGCAAACACGAAAGUGGACGUAUAGGGUGUGACGCCUGCCCGGUGCCGGAAGGUUAAGUGAUGGGGUGCAAGCUCUUGAUCGAAGCCCCGGUAAACGGCGGCCGUAACAAUAACGGUCCUAAGGUAGCGAAAUUCCUUGUCGGGUAAGUUCCGACCUGCACGAAUGGCGUAACGAUGGCCACACUGUCUCCUCCUGGGACUCAGCGAAGUUGUAAUGUUUGUGAAGAUGCAAUCUACCCGCGGCUAGACGGAAAGACCCCAUGAACCUUUACUGUAGCUUUGCAUUGGACUUUGAACCGGUUUGUGUAGGAUAGGUGGGAGACUGUGAAGCCGGGACGCUAGUUUCGGUGGAGUCAACCUUGAAAUACCACCCUGAUUUGUUUGAGGUUCUAACCUUGGUCCGUGAAUCCGGAUCGGGGACCGUGCAUGGUAGGCAGUUUGACUGGGGCGGUCUCCUCCCAAAAGGUAACGGAGGAGUACGAAGGUACGCUUAGGGCGGUCGGACAUCGCCCACAAAGUGCAAUGGCAAAAGCGUGCUUGACUGCGAGACCCACAAGUCGAGCAGGUACGAAAGUAGGUCAUAGUGAUCCGGUGGUUCUGUAUGGAAGGGCCAUCGCUCAACGGAUAAAAGGUACUCUGGGGAUAACAGGCUAAUUCCUCCCAAGAGUUCAUAUCGACGGGGGAGUUUGGCACCUCGAUGUCGGCUCAUUACAUCCUGGGGCUGUAGUCGGUCCCAAGGGUAUGGCUGUUCGCCAUUUAAAGUGGUACGCGAGCUGGGUUUAAAACGUCGUGAGACAGUUUGGUCCCUAUCUGCCGUGGGCGCUGGAAAUUUGAAGGGGGCUGCUCCUAGUACGAGAGGACCGGAGUGGACGAACCUCUGGUGUACCGGUUAUGACGCCAGUCGUAUCGCCGGGUAGCUAAGUUCGGAAGAGAUAAACGCUGAAAGCAUCUAAGCGUGAAACUCGCCUUAAGAUAAGAUUUCCCGGAGUCUUGAACUCCCUGAAGGGUCGUCGAAGACCACGACGUUGAUAGGUCAGGUGUGGAAGCGCAGCAAUGCGUUAAGCUAACUGAUACUAAUUGCCCGUGCGGCUCG